RNAcentral lists this ribosomal RNA (254 nucleotides) under uncultured bacterium. Its description in RNAcentral is "partial 16S ribosomal RNA". It matches the Rfam family "Bacterial small subunit ribosomal RNA", at positions 524 to 776 of the family's 1533-position model. The record is from RNAcentral.
UACGGGGGGAGCAAGCGUUGUUCGGAUUUACUGGGCGUAAAGGGCGCGUAGGCGGCGUGACAAGUCACUUGUGAAAUCUCCGGGCUUAACUCGGAACGGUCAAGUGAUACUGUCGUGCUAGAGUACAGAAGGGGCAACUGGAAUUCUCGGUGUAGCGGUGAAAUGCGUAGAUAUCAGGAGGAACACCGGUGGCGAAGGCGGAUCUCUGGGCCUGUCCUGACGCUGAGGCGCGAAAGUGUGGGGAGGCAAACGGG